RNAcentral lists this small RNA (798 nucleotides) under Pan troglodytes (chimpanzee). RNAcentral's name for it is "retained intron". Lineage: Eukaryota; Metazoa; Chordata; Mammalia; Primates; Hominidae. The record is from RNAcentral.
CCCUGCCAUGAUUUGCACCUGAUAUUCAGGGAUCACUCUCAAAAUGUGAGCCAUAAAGAAGAAGGCUGUGUCGCUGGGAGUGAGAAUCUGCAGCAACAACAUAGAAAUAAGCCCCUGCCGGGCUCCCAGUGGUUUCUGAGAAAAAUGGGCUUCUCUUUCUACUGUACUUGGCAGCUGGAAAAGCUAUUGAGUCCUUUAGUCACUUCAAAGUAGCACUUUAGCCAUUGAGUGCUACUGUGCUGGGGUGGGUGGUGAAUGAGGCCCCACCCUUGGCCUCAGGGCAUUCUGGGUAAUUAUGGGAGGGGUGUGACAGAAGGUGCCAGGAGUGGGCAAGGAGCGGACUUCGUGGAGGGAAGUUGGUAAGUAAGUUUCACAGGAUGACAAGGGAGUCUGCAGCCCACUGAGGGCUCGAGGAUCAGCCAGGCCGUUAAAUGCCGUGUCUGCCUGGUAGCUCUGGGAACGGGCGAUUCAGGGAGCCUUACUCGUUGAGUAGAAAUCCAGCUCAAUACAUUGGUUUUGAUGUGUUCAUCUGUGAACCUGGGAGGCGCCUGCAUCUUCUUGGCCUUUUCUCCUGCUGACUCUUAACAGUGCACUGCCGUGUUUGAUCUUGUUUUUCAGAAAUUGCCCAGGUUAUUGCCUCAUACACCGCCACCGGCCCCGAGCAGCUCACUCUCGCCCCUGGUCAGCUGAUUUUGAUCCGAAAAAAGAACCCAGGUGGAUGGUGGGAAGGAGAGCUGCAAGGUGUUCAGACUUACAUCUCUUGGAUAUGUUGACCCCAACUGAAAGAAAGCGACAAGG